This is a long non-coding RNA of Mercenaria mercenaria, 430 nucleotides long. RefSeq lists it as uncharacterized. The transcript has 3 exons. Lineage: Eukaryota; Metazoa; Mollusca; Bivalvia; Venerida; Veneridae. The record is from RefSeq and is a predicted model, not a curated record.
GAAGAGAGAUCUACUUCAUAUUCAUCCGAUGAAUCACGAGCUUUGAUACAUUUACACGAGGAGGAUGAUAUAAAAAAACAACAGGGAUAUGCAGUCGUAUUUUGUGAUGAAUGUGAUCAAUAAAAGAUAAUUGUAUUUGUGAAUCUUUAAAUAAUAUUAAGUACUUUUUAAGCAUAGAUACGAAAAUGUUUCUGACUGGUGUAAUCUACAUAUAUAUCAUGGCUGAGUGCAUGUGUACUGAGUUUGAAGGAUACAGUUAUGAUGGCUGGUACAACAAUUUGAACAACCCGGACUGGGGAGGGGCAGACACACGUCUCCAAAGAAAGAGUAAAGCCGCGUACAGAGAUGGUGUGUAUAUGCCGUCCGGCCAAACCCGUCCAAAUCCGUUUGACAUAAGCAAAGCCGUUCACCAGGGUCCGACAGGAUUCCC